RNAcentral lists this long non-coding RNA (1015 nucleotides) under Brassica napus (rape). Its description in RNAcentral is "long non-coding RNA (BNAP_LNC002811)". The record is from RNAcentral. Lineage: Eukaryota; Viridiplantae; Streptophyta; Magnoliopsida; Brassicales; Brassicaceae.
AAAAUAUUAGGAUUGAUUGAAUGCAGUCGGAGAAGAGAUGCCAAUCCCUUACUUAUUAAUAGGGAAGCAUUUUGAAAAAAUAACCUUUAUUUUAUAUUUUAUUUACUGAGAUGCCAUUAUGCUGAGGUGGCAAACCCACAUACUUCCUCAGCCUAACUAAUCAAAUGACCUUUGAUUACUAGAAUUAUUAUCAAGACUGCCAUUAUAUAUUGCAGUCGAUAUUAAUCAUACAACAAAGUUUAAAAAUAAAAGGGAUAAGAAUACAAACUAAAUAAUAAAGAAAAACAGAAAAGUAAUAUCAUUUGUUUUCUUUCAUACGAAAUCUGGGUUUUCUACCUGAGAAAUCUUACAGCUAUUGGUUUUCUUUCAUACGAAAUCUGGGUUUUCUCUUUGAGAAAUCUUACAGCUGCUUCUACACAAUUAGAGACCAUCUCCGGCUACAAAGAAGAGAUCAGAAGGGCUUCCGCAGACGCAGAGCUCGACGUCCACCGUACGGCAAAGAAUUAGUCUCAAUUAAGCAACCCUUGCGUCAGACAAUAUGGUAUGAGAGCAACACCUAGAGAUAUCCCGUUUAUAGCUGUGAAAUCGACUACUAAGUCUCCGUUGUUUUAUAAGUCGAACGCCGUAGAAGAUGACGGAGAACGAACUCAACCCUCAAAACAGCACAAGCUACGGAGGAACCGAAUACAAAGGAGAGAUUUUUUGAUGUGGGUUUAGAUAUAGAGAUCUUUUUCUGGUUUGGGGUAUUUGCUGAUAGUAUGUUUCGGGAGAUUGAAUGGCUUUCAGUUGAUAGAAGAUGAGUGGACCACAGAAGAAAGACUUCAUGUGUUUGAACAUUUUCAUAUAACUUUUUUUUAGUGAAUAUAAAUUGUUUAUUAGGUGAACUUUCGUGUGAUUCAGACCACAAGUGUUAAGGUAUUUUCGUUGUGAGUUUAUUUAUGAACUGAAUUGAUAUAUUUUUCAAAAAAACACUUUGUCUAAUUAGUUAUUAAGGUAACAAAAUAAUUGAGAAAAA